Long non-coding RNA from Marmota monax (woodchuck), 1678 nucleotides. RefSeq lists it as uncharacterized. The transcript is spliced from 3 exons. The record is from RefSeq and is a predicted model, not a curated record. NCBI's taxonomy places the organism in Eukaryota, Metazoa, Chordata, Mammalia, Rodentia, Sciuridae.
CUGAGAAUAAACUCCCUUCCUGCCUUCCCCACAGCCAUCUCUUGGAUAGGCCUUUGGGGCAGGUGGCCAGACCUGCACAUUUGAGAGCCCUGCAGCUCAGCCUUUGGCCCAGUUCCGGUAACAAGACCUGCAUUUGGGCAGUCAGCCCAACUGAGCCACUGGGCCUGGGUGUGGCACACAAGCUUUCCACCCGCUGGUGCAGAAUCCCCGGCCAAGCGAAAGCUGCUGCUGGCAUUUCAUUCUGUCAACACACUCAAAUGGACCCCGCUGGGAAGUGCAUUUUGACAGAGUGCUGCCCCUACAGUUGUUAGCUUCUUCCACUUCACACUUGUGGAAAGCAGAGAGGCCUUCGAAGAUGUCCUCCCUAGGAGCUAUGAAUAUGUCACCCCACCUGGAGAAGGGGCCUCACAGAUGAAGGAUCCUGGUAGGGGGAGCUGAUCCCCAAUUGUCUGUGCGCACAAUGGAUUCACAAGGGUCCUCAUGAGGUGAAGAGGGAGACAGGAGGGUCAGAGAGGAGCAGAGAGUUUGAAGGGAGGCCACUGUGGGCCCGGAAGACAAAGGAGCCAUGAACUGCAGAGUACAGGCUCUCGAUAAGCUGGAAAACGCUAAGAAAUGGAUUCCCUUUUAAAAGUUCUAGAAGGAACAGAACCCUGCAAACAUAUUGAUUUUAGGACUUCUGACCGACCUCCAAACUAUAAGGUAAUAGACUAUGUUGUUUUAAGCACUAGAUUGUAAGUGAUACAGCAGCCUCAGGAGACCAACACACCUGUUAGAUUUGCAUCAUGCGUCCCAAUUCUUUACCUGUCUGCUACAGUUUGGAUCCUGAGUGUCCCCCCCAAGGUCCAUGGCUACAGGUUUGCUUCCUGGGGUGAUGCUGUUGGAAGGCGGUGGACCCUUUCGGAGUUUCGACACGCACUUCUGCUGUGAUGUGCUGCCUUGACAUAGGACCAAAGGAAUGGGGCCAAGGAACCAUGAACUUGAAAACUAAUUAAAGGCCCAACCUCUCGUUUGUGAAAGUCAAACUGAAGCUGAGGAUGGAGAAGAAAAUGGCCCAGGACCCAGUCUCGGACUCUGCAUUGCACCCCAGGCUCCACUGUCCCUGACUGGCUCAGAGAGCUGAGUCUGGAAACCCUCACAACACGACCUCACCUACACGUCUUGGACGCUCUUGCCAUCUAGAACUAUGUACGGCUGAACUCUCAGGAUGUCUUCAUGUACUUGAGCAGAGGUGACCACUCAUAUCUGUUUAAAGCAAAAAUAUUGCCUGACCACAUCAUGACUGAAGCUGCUUGCGUCCUUGAGUGUUGCUGCCCCCCGAGGAUCAUGCUGGCCUAAGGGUGAGAGUGGAAGGCCAUUCAUACAUGAUCUAGACUGCUCACUUCCUCGAUCUCUGCAGUCAAGAACCACAUGUCUGCUGACUGGACAGACACAUGACUUGCAUGCAACAGCAGGACAGAGUGAGUGCUUCCACUGGACAGCCGGUAGGAACGUGGGUGACCCUGAGGACAGCUCAGGUUAUCCCAAUGAAACCACACGGACACCAGCAGACUAUGAGGGAACCUGCGCUUUGUAACCAUUUGGCCACAAUUUUUGAGCUGUUUUCUUCAUGGAUGCCCUCCUUCAUCACCCCUGUGGGAAACCUCACUUCUUAGCAUCUUUAUUACAUUUUCUCAGUAUC